Molecule: unclassified non-coding RNA, 327 nt
Filed under: soil metagenome
Description: partial contains 5.8S ribosomal RNA, internal transcribed spacer 2, and large subunit ribosomal RNA
Rfam family: 5.8S ribosomal RNA (bases 1-120)
Source: RNAcentral
GAUGAAGAACGCAGCGAAAUGCGAUAAGUAAUGUGAAUUGCAGAAUUCAGUGAAUCAUCGAAUCUUUGAACGCACAUUGCGCCCCUUGGUAUUCCGAGGGGCAUGCCUGUUCGAGCGUCAUUAUAACCCCUCAAGCUCGGCUUGGUGUUGGGGCCUCCCGCACGGGCAGCCCUUAAAAUCAGUGGCGGUGCCAUCUGGCUCUAAGCGUAGUAAUUCUUCUCGCUAUAGAGUCCCGGUGGAUGCUUGCCAUUAACCCCCAAUUUCAAUGGUUGACCUCGGAUCAGGUAGGGAUACCCGCUGAACUUAAGCAUAUCAAUAAGCGGAGGA